This is a non-coding RNA of Malassezia cuniculi, 101 nucleotides long. Lineage: Eukaryota; Fungi; Basidiomycota; Malasseziomycetes; Malasseziales; Malasseziaceae. The record is from the annotation of a GenBank genome assembly.
GUCUCGUUGGUGUAGUUGGUUAUCACGUCGGUCUCAUAAUAUGACCGCGGUUCCGCGGAUAUGACAUCUGGAGGUCGCCAGUUCGAUCCUGGCACGGGACA